GCACGUGGUAGGCACGGGGCCCAGUUCCUCAAGCAGAGGGAGGCACUCCCCAGGGACUCCCAGGAAUGGCCGUAAGGAGCGUGGCAUGGCUUGGCAGGCCCUUGCUAAACGUGGGCCCUGGGAAGUGCUGUCACCCUGCUUGUUUUUCCCUUUCUUUUUCUCUUCCUGCCUCUUUUCUUCCUUUCCACCUGAGCCCCUCACCUAGAUGAGAAGUGCCCCCCUGCCUGAGGAAUGCAUCAGUCAGAGACCCUUCCUGGGACUCCCGCAGGCUCCCACCAUCUGACCUGCGGAAGGAAGGAUUGAGGUAUUUAUUGCUCUGGGAGCAGGUAGGAGAUGUUUCCAAAACCUGUCUACCCCUGGGUGCUAUGGAAUCUGCAUCACCCUCAUUUUCCUAGAGCCUGGGGCCAGAUGGGGGAGCGCACUUCAGAUGCUCACACAUCUGCGGAGUGAGUAACCUCACCCGCUUGGCCUCUUCACCCUGAAGUUACAGUUAUUAAAAUAAUUGACAAGCUCUUGGAGAUGUCAGCCCUCCACCGUUGAGAAUCUAAUAACAAUAGUAUUGUGCCCAGUGUCUCUGGGCUUUGACAGUGGAUUACUUAUUUACCAGAGGCCCCAGGGUCACUGGCACACGCUUUCUUUUCCUAAUAACCCCAACCUUGUGGCUCCCCUAAGGCUGGGGUGAGCUCUGUGUUCCUCUAGUUUCUGUAAGAUGGUGAACUUGGCAAAAGCUGUCAUUAAACAGAAGCUAGGAGAAAGCCAAGCUUGUGGAAUCAGAAUGGGUAUUGGCAUUUACUGCUCUCUUCUUGAAUUUCUGCAUUUUUUGGCUUUUUCUUCUCCAAGACUGGGGUCCGUGGAACACAGGUGUCCUGGGAGAUAGGAAUAGGUGCUCUGAGAAAAGAGGGUUCCGUAGUCCAGAAAAUUUGGGAAACACCACCUGGGUACUCUCUCUGAGAUGCACAAGGUACAUUAGCCUAGAUAAAGUCAAGAAGUCCUGCAAUAAAAAUACCUUCUAAACCUUGUUUUAGCCAGGGACUCUCAAACUCACUUGACAGUAGGGCCUCCCAUUUGGGGAGUAUACAUCAACAAUCUCCAGAUGUGCUAAUGUUCCUUGGAACACACAUUGGGAAGCACUGUUUUAGGGGGCCUGCAGCUGCUGAUGACUCCUGGUUCUGUGUCCUUUGGGAUGCUCUAGCUCAUGGUUCUCUAACUUCAGAGCAUCUGAGUCCUCUGCUGGGCGUGUUAAAACACAGACUGCAGGGCCUACCCCCAGAGUUUCUAAUUCAGUAGAUCUGGGAUGGGUCUGAGAAUUUGUUUUCUAAUGACUUUCUAGGUGAUGAUGAGUCUGCUGGUCCAGGAACCACCGUUUGGGGACCACUUCUCUUAGCUUGACGUUUUCUAGAAGUGGACAUCCAGGAGUUCCAAGAAAACUUGGCAUGUUUUUGAGUGUUGUCACCCCUCGUGAGUGUUGGCUGUCUUACCUGUUGAAUGGGAGCAUUGCUCACUUCCUAGGGCGGUGAGGAUAACCAGCCUGGCGUGUGGAAGGGGCCCAGAGCAGGACCAGUUGCUAAGUUUUAAAUAAAUACUACCUUUGGGGAUCCAGAUGUUGAAACAUACUAUAAAACUUCUAUAAUUGAAACAGUAUGAUACUGGUGCAUGAAUAGACAAGUAGACCAGUGGAACAGAAUAGAGAGCCUGGAAAUAGAUCCAAGUACAUGAUAAAGGUGACAUCUCAAUGAUGAUUGGGGAUAAAGGUGGAGUUUUAAAUAAAUGGUGCUGAGAUGACUGAGUAGCCAUUUGGAAAAAGAUAAAAAUAGAUCCAUAUCUCACAUCAUACCCAAAAAUAAAUUCCAAGUGGUUAGGGAUCUAAAUGUAAAGAAUGAAACCAUGCAAGUACUAGAAGAAUGAAUUCUUCUUCUUUAAAACCUUGAUGUAGGGAAAACUUUGUAACUCUAAUUCAAAAUCUAGGAACAAUAAAAGAUUGAUAAAUCUGACU
Molecule: long non-coding RNA, 1993 nt
Organism: Phocoena sinus (vaquita)
Lineage: Eukaryota; Metazoa; Chordata; Mammalia; Artiodactyla; Phocoenidae
Source: Ensembl